AUGAAUAAUACUGACAACUCAACAGUGCCAAAUUCUGAGAUAAUUGAGGAUACAUCUACAGAAGCUGCUGAUGGAAAGAGCCUCACAUGGAACAGGAAGAUGGAAUCUCAUAUUGUUGGACGAGCUCAAGAAAAAAAAGAUAUUAUUGAACUAAUAUCUCAUCCAACUAGAGAAAGGUUUGAGGUGAUAUCCAUUUGGGGAAUGGGUGGUCUUGGGAAAACCACUAUAGUGAAAGACAUCUAUCAAAGCCAAGAACUCAUUGGCACAUUUGAGAAGCGUGCUUGUGCCACAAUUUUGCGUCCUUUCAGUCUUUUAGAGCUUCUCAGGAGCUUAUUUAUGCAACUUGACACGGAAACUUCUGAAAAGAAGGCUGAUGUGGGUUUGCCUGCAAGCAAAACGGAGAGAUUACCAUCCUCGAAACAGGCUCUCGCCCCUGCAAGAAAAAAGGAGAGAUUACCAUCAGUGAAAGAGAGAUUACUAUCAAUGACAGUUGAUGACUUGAUCAAUGAGUUGGCAAUAUUGGUAGACAAAAAAAGAUGCCUUAUUGUUCUUGAUGAUGUAUCAUCUACUGCAGAAUGGGAUCAGCUAAUACAACCAGUAAUUUUCCAGGAGAUGGGAAAUACAAGCCGAAUCAUAGUCACUACAAGGGAGAAGAGUAUUGCUCUACAUUGUUCAGAGAAGAAACAAGAAAAUAUAUACAAGCUUGAAGAUCUAGCGUACGAGUAUGCGCGUGAACUCUUCACUAAAAAGGUAUUUAGGAAGACAAUAGAUUUGGAUAAGCAUUAUCCAGAGCUAGUCAAACCAGCCGAAUUGAUCCUGAGGAAGUGUGGCCGACUACCCCUUGCAAUAGUCACCGUAGGUGGCUUUUUAGCAAACCAAUCAAAGACUUCUCUGGAAUGGAGGAAAUUUUAUGAUCAUAUCAGUGCCGAGAUGGAGAUGAAUCCUGAGCUUACAACCAUAAGAAGUGUUCUUAUGAAAAGCUAUGAUGGUCUACCCUUCCACCUCAAGUCAUGUUUCUUGUACACAUCCAUAUUUUCUGAAGACCGUAAGCUUGAGCGGAGACGCUUGGUGCUUCGGUGGACUGCAGAGGGGUACUCAAGGGAGGUGCGUGAUAAGUCGGCGGAGGAAAUAUCAGAUAGCUACUUCGUGGAACUUAUAAGCAGGAGCAUGAUACUGCCAUCUCAAAAAUCAUUCCAUAGUAUAAAAGGAAUAGAUUCCUGCCAAGUCCAUGAUCUCAUUCGUGAGAUCAGCAUCUCAAAGUCUAUGGAAGAAAACCUUGUUUUGAGACUAGAGAAAGGUUGUAAGCUGAAUAGGCAGCAGGGUAAUGCACGCCAUCUUGCUAUAAACGGCAAUUGGGAAGGAGAGCAGAGUGAUUUUGAGAUGAUGGUGGACAUGCCCCGUGUACGGUCAGUAACUGUUUUUGGGAAGUGGAGGCCAUUCUUCAUGUCGGUGAAGAUGAGGAUGCUACGAGUUCUGGACUUGGAAGACACGACAGGUCUUGUCGAUCAUCAUUUGAAGCAUAUUGGGAAGCUUCUUCACCUAAUAUACUUAUCUCUGAGAGGAGUGAAGAUAUUUAUCACCUGCCAGAUUCAAUUGGUAACCCAAUGCAACUGCAAACACUUGAUAUCAGAGGUACCUCCAUACUGA
Molecule: ribosomal RNA, 1647 nt
Filed under: Triticum aestivum (bread wheat)
Lineage: Eukaryota; Viridiplantae; Streptophyta; Magnoliopsida; Poales; Poaceae
Description: partial small subunit ribosomal RNA
Source: RNAcentral